RNAcentral lists this ribosomal RNA (253 nucleotides) under uncultured bacterium. RNAcentral describes it as "partial 16S ribosomal RNA". It matches the Rfam family "Bacterial small subunit ribosomal RNA", at positions 524 to 776 of the family's 1533-position model. The record is from RNAcentral.
UACGUAGGGUGCAAGCGUUGUCCGGAAUUAUUGGGCGUAAAGGGCGCGUAGGCGGCCCGCUAAGUCGAACGUGAAAUCCCCGAGCUCAACUCGGGAACUGCGUCCGAUACUGGCGGGCUUGAAUCCGGGAGAGGGAUGCGGAAUUCCAGGUGUAGCGGUGAAAUGCGUAGAUAUCUGGAGGAACACCGGUGGCGAAGGCGGCAUCCUGGACCGGCAUUGACGCUGAGGCGCGAAAGCUAGGGGAGCAAACGGG